Molecule: ribosomal RNA, 900 nt
Filed under: Cupriavidus sp.
Lineage: Bacteria; Pseudomonadati; Pseudomonadota; Betaproteobacteria; Burkholderiales; Burkholderiaceae
Description: bacterial SSU rRNA
Rfam family: Bacterial small subunit ribosomal RNA
Source: RNAcentral
CGGGUGAUUUAUACGUCGGAACGUACCCUGUUGUGGGGGAUNCUAGUCGAAAGAUUAACUAAUACCGCCUACCACCUGAGGGUGAAAGCGGGGGACCGCAAGGCCUCGCGCAGCACGAGCGGCCGAUGUCUGAUUAUCUAUCUGGUGGGGUAAAGGCCCACCCUCGCGACGAUCCAUAGCUGGACUGAGAGGACCAUCCCCCUCACGGGGACUGAGACUCGGCCCAAACUCCUACUGGAGGCAGCAUGGGGGAAUUUUGGACUAUGGGGGGAACCCUGAUCCAACAAUGCCACAUGGGUGAAGAACGCCUUCGGGUUGUACAGCACUUUUGUCCAGAAAGAAAUACACUCUGGUUAAUACCUGGGGUGGAUGACGGUACCGGAAGAAUAAUCACCGGCUAACUACGUGCCAGCAGCCGCGGUAAUACGUAGGGUGCGAGCGUUAAUCGGAAUUACUGGGCGUAAUGCGUGCGCAGGCGGGUUUGUANACAGGCGUGAAAUCCCCGAGCUCAACUUGGGAAUUGCGCUUGUGACUGCAAGGCUAGAGUAUGUCAUACGGGGGUAGAAUUCCACGUGUACCACUGAAAUGCGUAGAGAUGUGGAGGAAUACCUAUGGCGAAAGCAGCCCCCUGGGACUUCACUGACUCUCAUGCACGAAAGCGUGUGGAGCAACAGGAUUAGAUACCCUGGUAGUCCACGCCCUACACNAUGUCAACUAUUUGUUGGGGAUUCAUUNCUUCACCACGUAUCUAACACUCGAACUGACCGUCUGGAGAGUACUUCCCAAGAUAACUCUCGAUGAAUGACGUNACCGCACAGCUGGCGAUGAUGUGNAUCAUUCAUGCAAUAAAANCCUACUACCAUUACUGCAUGNGGACUAAUAACUCANUNUNANCGGAAC